ACGAUAGAGAAGGUUAUGGAACUUCUGUCGUCUGUCUAGCCUUGGCCACGCACGCUGGAUCAUCUGGCAGACGUUUUCAGCGAUCGUUUGUUAUCUCCGACAAAUUUACAACAGCAGCAGGAGUAAGCGAAACACCACACAGCUCAUGUUUACAUUCAUGGAACACAAGACGGCGAUUUUAAUGAAGUAUGCCUAAACUUGCACGAUUUUAUAUUAAUUUUGGGAAUUCAGUGGCGAUAUACUCUGCAGGACAAAAUGUCCAGGGAUAUCUUAAUGUUGAAGUUGACAAACCGUUAAAUCUGCAGUGCAUCAGGGUAUAUGUUAAAGGCGAGGCCUUUGUCCACUGGACUGAUCAGCGUAUGCGUGGUCCGGCUCCAUUGCAGACCCCUACACGUCAUCACUCGGCUCACGAGGAAUAUUUUGAUUUCACAUCUACACUUUUGGGGAAUAAUGACAAUAAUGCUCCGAAGAUCACUCUAUUGCGAGGAAACUACUGCUACCCCUUUCAGUUCCAACUUCCUCAAAACCUCCCCUCUUCCUUUGAGGGGAAAUACGGUCACAUACGAUACACCAUUAAAGGGACCAUUGAAAAACCUAAGAGAUUCUCUCACGUGACUAAAACAGCGUUUUCUGUGAUUGGCCCGUUGGACUUGAACACUUUCCCUCAAAUAGAUUCCCCAAUUGGCAUGACUGUAACCAAAAAUAUCUGCUGUUUGUGUUGUACAUCGGGCCCUCUUAGUGCUUAUCUGUCGCUCCCAAGAAGGGGCUUCGUUCCAGGAGACAUAAUUCCUUUAACGGUGGAAAUUGAAAAUCUUUCGCGUCGGAAAAUAGCAAGUUCGUCCAUAACACUCAAAAUGACAACAAAUUUUCACAGCCAUGAUGAAUCUCGAACAGUGAGCACAGAGAUAGACAAGAUCGUUCAUGGAUCUGUACCCCGGGGUGCUACCAGCACGAGGGCAGACCAAGGGAUCCCCCUCCCUGCACUUCCUCCCAGCUUUCUAUUCGGAUGUAACAUUAUUGAUAUCCAAUACAAACUAGAGCUGCGAGUAGAUGCAGUCGGACCAUCUUUUGAGAUGUAUUUGCCAUUAGAAAUUAUAGUUGGAACUGUACCAUUACGUUCUACUAUGCGACCCAUCCCAAAUUCACCUCGAUAUGACUCGAGGUCACAAAGUCAUCGAUCUACGUCAUCCCAAACUUCUUCAGAGCAAUAUUCAGUGUCAUUAACCUACAUGGAGUCCAGAUUGGGAGGCAUCUGUAUCAAAGAGAAAGAUGACCCAGAGGACAUGAAGGGGGACCAUCACUUCACUCCCAUCUAUCCUUACUACAUCUGGACUGAGUGAUUACAUCUGGACUGAAUGAUUACAUCUGGACUGAGUGAUUACAUCUGGACUGAAUGAUUACAUCUGGACUGAGUGAUUACAUCUGGACUGAGUGAUAUACUGAACAGGUCACAGCCACAGGAUAUUAUGAUUUCUUCUGAACAGUGCUAUACUGAUUGUGUAUGGGAAUUUGCUGUCAUUGCAGGACCUACUAUACAAUCAUGCAUCUAUCAUCUAAGUGAACGAGACAAGGAAUAAAAUAUAGGCAAUUGUA
Ostrea edulis (European flat oyster) is the source of this 1593-nucleotide RNA transcript. It is a transcript of the gene named arrestin domain-containing protein 3-like, with no coding region annotated. Lineage: Eukaryota; Metazoa; Mollusca; Bivalvia; Ostreida; Ostreidae. The transcript has 8 exons. The record is from RefSeq and is a predicted model, not a curated record.